GUGCUUAACACAUGCAAGUCGAACGGAAAGGCCCUUCGGGGUACUCGAGUGGCGAACGGGUGAGUAACACGUGGGUGAUCUGCCCUGCACUUUGGGAUAAGCCUGGGAAACUGGGUCUAAUACCGAAUAGGAUCACUGGCUUCAUGGUCGGUGGUGGAAAGCUUUUGCGGUGUGGGAUGGGCCCGCGGCCUAUCAGCUUGUUGGUGGGGUAAUGGCCUACCAAGGCGACGACGGGUAGCCGGCCUGAGAGGGUGACCGGCCACACUGGGACUGAGAUACGGCCCAGACUCCUACGGGAGGCAGCAGUGGGGAAUAUUGCACAAUGGGCGCAAGCCUGAUGCAGCGACGCCGCGUGAGGGAUGACGGCCUUCGGGUUGUAAACCUCUUUCGCCAGGGACGAAGCGCAAGUGACGGUACCUGGAGAAGAAGGACCGGCCAACUACGUGCCAGCAGCCGCGGUAAUACGUAGGGUCCGAGCGUUGUCCGGAAUUACUGGGCGUAAAGAGCUCGUAGGUGGUUUGUCGCGUUGUUCGUGAAAUC
RNAcentral lists this ribosomal RNA (540 nucleotides) under Mycolicibacterium parafortuitum. RNAcentral's name for it is "bacterial SSU rRNA". It matches the Rfam family "Bacterial small subunit ribosomal RNA", at positions 44 to 601 of the family's 1533-position model. Lineage: Bacteria; Bacillati; Actinomycetota; Actinomycetes; Mycobacteriales; Mycobacteriaceae. The record is from RNAcentral.